RNAcentral lists this ribosomal RNA (251 nucleotides) under uncultured bacterium. RNAcentral's name for it is "partial 16S ribosomal RNA". It matches the Rfam family "Bacterial small subunit ribosomal RNA", at positions 525 to 775 of the family's 1533-position model. The record is from RNAcentral.
ACGUAGGUGGCGAGCGUUGUCCGGAUUUACUGGGCGUAAAGGGAGCGUAGGCGGAUUUUUAAGUGAGAUGUGAAAUACCCGGGCUCAACUUGGGUGCUGCAUUUCAAACUGGAAGUCUAGAGUGCAGGAGAGGAGAAUGGAAUUCCUAGUGUAGCGGUGAAAUGCGUAGAGAUUAGGAAGAACACCAGUGGCGAAGGCGAUUCUCUGGACUGUAACUGACGCUGAGGCUCGAAAGCGUGGGGAGCAAACAG